GAUCAUGGCUCAGGAUGAACGCUGGCGGCGUGCUUAACACAUGCAAGUCGAACGGAGUGCUAGUGACAGAGGAUUCGUCCAAUGGAUCUAGUUACUUAGUGGCGGACGGGUGAGUAACGCGUGAGUAACCUGCCUUGGAGUGGGGAAUAACACAGAGAAAUUUGUGCUAAUACCGCAUGACGCGGUUGUACCGCAUGGUACUGACCGCCAAAGAUUUAUCG
Molecule: ribosomal RNA, 221 nt
Filed under: uncultured bacterium
Lineage: Bacteria
Description: partial 16S ribosomal RNA
Rfam family: Bacterial small subunit ribosomal RNA
Source: RNAcentral